UUAAAGAUAGUUUAAAUUAGAACAGUAGCUUUGGGAGUUGUUGGUGCUUUGUAGAGCUCUUUAAA
RNAcentral lists this transfer RNA (65 nucleotides) under Perna viridis (Asian green mussel). RNAcentral's name for it is "tRNA-Pro". Lineage: Eukaryota; Metazoa; Mollusca; Bivalvia; Mytilida; Mytilidae. The record is from RNAcentral.